CUUCGUUCUGUUCUUCGUUCUGUUCUUCGUUCUGUUCUUCGUGCUGUUCUUCGUGCUGUUCUUCUUGCUGUUCUUCGUUCUGUUCUUCGUGCUGUUCUUCUUGCUGUUCUUCGUUCUGUUCUUCGUGCUGUUCUUCUUGCUGUUCUUCUUGCUGUUCUUCAUUCUGUUCUUCGUGCUGUUCUUCGUGCUGUUCUUCUUGCUGUUCUUCUUGCUGUUCUUCUUGCUGUUCUUCGUUCUGUUCUUCGUUCUGUUCUUCGUGCUGUUCUUCUUGCUGUUCUUCUUGCUGUUCUUCUUGCUGUUCUUGCUGUUCUUCGUUCUGUUCUUCAUUCUGUUCUUCUUGCUGUUCUUCGUUCUGUUCUUUGUUCUGUUCUUCGUUCUGUUCUUCUUGCUGUUCUUCUUGCUGUUCUUCGUUCUGUUCUUCGUUCUGUUCUUCGUGCUGUUCUUCGUGCUGUUCUUCUUGCUGUUCUUCUUGCUGUUCUUCGUUCUGUUCUUCGUUCUGUUCUUCGUGCUGUUCUUCUUGCUGUUCUUCUUGCUGUUCUUCUUGCUGUUCUUGCUGUUCUUCGUUCUGUUCUUCAUUCUGUUCUUCUUGCUGUUCUUCGUUCUGUUCUUCGUUCUGUUCUUCGUUCUGUUCUUCGUGCUGUUCUUCUUGCUGUUCUUGCUGUUCUUCGUUCUGUUCUUCGUUCUGUUCUUCGUUCUGUUCUUCAUUCUGUUCUUCUUGCUGUUCUUCGUUCUGUUCUUCGUUCUGUUCUUCGUUCUGUUCUUCGUUCUGUUCUUCUUGCUGUUCUUGCUGUUCUUGCUGUUCUUCUUGCUGUUCUUCUUGCUGUUCUUCGUGCUGUUCUUCUUGCUGUUCUUGCUGUUCUUCGUUCUGUUCUUCGUUCUGUUCUUCGUUCUGUUCUUCGUUCUGUUCUUCGUUCUGUUCUUCGUUCUGUUCUUCGUUCUAUUCUUCGUUCUGUUCUUCUUGCUGUUCUUCGUUAUGUUCUUCGUUCUGUUCUUCGUUCUGUUCUCCGUGCUGUUCUUCGUACUAUUCUUCAUUCUCCACGUUCACCAUCAUCAGGAGACAAACAAGCUUCUCUGCUAAAUCUCAAACAAUAUUUCAGCCUGGACCAAAGUGAUGGACCGACGCUGGCAUGACUAAAGCGUUCC
Molecule: long non-coding RNA, 1143 nt
Filed under: Cottoperca gobio
Lineage: Eukaryota; Metazoa; Chordata; Actinopteri; Perciformes; Bovichtidae
Description: lncRNA (ENSCGOG00000024574.1)
Source: RNAcentral